RNAcentral lists this unclassified non-coding RNA (423 nucleotides) under Rhipicephalus microplus (southern cattle tick). RNAcentral's name for it is "uncharacterized LOC119185602, transcript variant X3". The record is from RNAcentral. Lineage: Eukaryota; Metazoa; Arthropoda; Arachnida; Ixodida; Ixodidae.
UGGCGAACCAGUCGGAAUGCAUAUCCAACGUUAGAUGGCGCUGUAGAUGUUCUUUGAGAAGACUGCGUGUUGCUGAAAGUCUCAACAACGCAGUUAGAAUAAACGAAGAAGUGCAGCAUUUCUAAUCAGAUUGCUCACAUCCAUCGAUGUUGAUCGGCCUACAGUACUGCGUCCAAUGACUUACCUUAUACGCCAUUCAGCAUAAUCUGCCUUGCCAAUGGAUGCUGCUGACGAGUCUAACAUGACGUGCCAUCAGGAUGUGAAUCCCAUAACUGCACAUUCUUUUGGGCCUGGGUGCUUUUUCCUGGAGCUGUAGUACCAGGCAGUCUUAAAGGACCUUGAGGACAGGUUCAAUUCAGUUGGUCAUAAGACAAGUAUUUGUUUUGACCUUUCCUGCACCUAAUUUAGUGCAGUGCUCAUAAG